GAUGAACGCUGGCGGCGUGCUUAACACAUGCAAGUCGAGCGAGAAGUUUUGAAAAGAUUCUUCGGAUGAAAUUUAAAAUGGAAAGCGGCGGACGGGUGAGUAACGCGUAGGCAACCUGCCCCAUACAAAGGGAUAGCAUUUGGAAACGAAUAUUAAUACCUUAUGAAACUUAACUAGUGCAUGCUAGGUAGGUCAAAGAUUUAUCGGUAUGGGAUGGGCCUGCGUCUGAUUAGCUAGUUGGUGAGGUAACGGCUCACCAAGGCGACGAUCAGUAGCCGACCUGAGAGGGUGAACGGCCACAUUGGAACUGAGACACGGUCCAAACUCCUACGGGAGGCAGCAGUGGGGAAUAUUGCACAAUGGGGGAAACCCUGAUGCAGCAACGCCGCGUGAACGAUGAAGGCCUUUGGGUCGUAAAGUUCUGUUCUAGGUGAUGAAAACUGACAGUAACCUAGGAGAAAGCCCCGGCUAACUCCGCG
RNAcentral lists this ribosomal RNA (479 nucleotides) under uncultured bacterium. Its description in RNAcentral is "partial 16S ribosomal RNA". It matches the Rfam family "Bacterial small subunit ribosomal RNA", at positions 28 to 507 of the family's 1533-position model. The record is from RNAcentral.